GCGCUCUUAGUUCAGUUCGGUAGAACGUGGGUCUCCAAAACUCAAUGCCGUAGGUUCAAAUCCUACAGAGCGUG
Molecule: transfer RNA, 74 nt
Filed under: Lecanthus peduncularis
Lineage: Eukaryota; Viridiplantae; Streptophyta; Magnoliopsida; Rosales; Urticaceae
Also listed under: 2 other names
Description: tRNA-Trp
Rfam family: tRNA
About the family: Transfer RNA (tRNA) molecules are approximately 80 nucleotides in length. Their secondary structure includes four short double-helical elements and three loops (D, anti-codon, and T loops).
Source: RNAcentral